This is a long non-coding RNA of Numida meleagris (helmeted guineafowl), 2154 nucleotides long. RefSeq lists it as uncharacterized. The record is from RefSeq and is a predicted model, not a curated record. The transcript has 3 exons. Lineage: Eukaryota; Metazoa; Chordata; Aves; Galliformes; Numididae.
AGGUAUGUCAUUGUGUGUUUAUAGAGGUAUGAAAAAUGACCUGGCUCAGAAAACCUUAAUGAAGCUAACUCAGGUUCACUGAUGCAAUGAAACUCGGCUUUCUUUCUGAAGAACUGCAGCUGCACUUCAAGUGUGACAGUUCUGUCCAGCUAUGGACAGGUCCAGAAAAAGGAUGCUCCAAAUUCAAAGGGUGCCACAUUUGGUGGAUGAGAGGUAAAGUCAUGUCAACCACAAGAUAAGCCCCAUGUCCUGCUCCUUUGCAUUUACUCUGGGAGACUCUGCUGGGGCUACUGCAGUGGAACAGCCCUUUCCCAAAGACACCAAGGAAGGAAGAAAAAGAGAGCAGAGUGGAGGAAGUCCUUGCCCAGCUGCAAGCAGAUGGUUAAGAGGCAGUUUAACUAUCUGCUGUGCCAUUCAGGUGUCUCAUUCUAAAACAUAUCUAGGAUAAUGCAUUUUCUGAAUACCAAGGGUCAGCAUUUUGUGUUAGGGAACAGGACUUAGAGAAGUAUUGGUGAAAAAAUCUGAAUGGCUGUUACAGCUUAGCUUAUAUUUGUAUUUUUAAUGUUGUAUUUUUAAGAAGGGGAAAAUUAGAGAUUUCAGACAAUUCAGAAUUGUAUUUCUAGGCUGUCCAAUAACAGAGGGAGCCAACUACCACUAUAGGUUUCAUGGCUUGAUGCCAACACAUUAAAAUAGCUUUGUGAUUCUGCAAAAAUGAUAAGCCUUCUUCAUCAUUUAAUAUGAAACAUCCUUUUUCCUGGCGGUGUAUUUCUAACACAAAACAGUAGGGGUUUAGAUUUCUGGCUCCAGCCACUGUGAUAAGAAUCAAGCAGUAAAAUCUCUACUCCUUGCUUUGGAACUAUUCUUUGCAUAUUCUAUUUUAUCAGCGUAAGAUCAGUGCUCAAAUACUUAGUCAUCAUUACCCACUUCUGCCCUACAGACAAUCAAACAAAGAGGAUAUGUCAAGAGUUGGAAAACAUCUGUUAAUAGUGCAAAGAUUUCCAUCUAUUUAUCAAGUCCUUCUCCAUUUAUUACCAUAAGAGUCAUAAUUGUCUAAAAUGGCUCUUUUUCCACUUGAAAGAUAACAGGACAUUUGCAGUUUAACCCGGCAAACACCUGUGUAUAUGGUGGAAGCAGUUGCAAGAAGGUCUGUGUGUUCAUAGGAUAGUUUGGAACUGAUGGGAGGGAGUCACAAAGGAAAUCAUUGGAUUCAUUUUCCUUUCAAAUUAGCACGUGCUAAUCUUUGUUUCUUUUCAGUGCAGUGGGUUUACAGAGGCAGGUAAAUGGAACUGUGGAGAAUUUAGCCUGGUAGCAGAAUCACAAAAAGUGCCCAGUCAUCUUGAACAUUAGUAUUGAGCCUUUUAUUAAGACAUUGAUGCAGCAUGAAUUUAGGGAUGUGGCACUGCAACUGCUAAAGUUUGAGAUGAACAGGCAUACUCUCAUUCCCUCUUGUUGACUCCUGGGUGGGGAUGGCUUUUUCUUUGUUUGCACGGUUUGGAUGCAUGAUUAGUAGUAUAGUGAUCUCUUUUGGCCAUAGUUCAUCUUUAUGCUAUUCUUAAAGAUCUCUUUCUGCUAUAGAUAUGCAGGAAAAUUAGCACUGGCCAAUGCUUGUUCAUGUUCAUUAUAGCUGUCCUACCCAUUUUAGAAAGGGUACUCUCUAACAAAAGUAUCUUCUACUGCCCUCUCCUGCUACCUUUCUAGGCAGAAAAUGUGGAAGAAAUUACCAUGUAAUAGUAUCUGUUCACCAAAUGACCCAAAAAGUGAAGCCAGAGCUCCGGGAAAUUUGGGGUAGUUGGCUGUACUGUGAAUGGGCUCGAUACAGUAUCUGUGAGGAAGGCAUAAGCCACACAGACAAAUUGCUCUCAGCAAUGUCUACCCUGAAGCAACAAUGUUAGCGCAAAGGACAAGGUUUUCAAUAGCAAACUGUGAAUGUCCCUGUGUAAGAGCUGGAAUUGACUUGAACUAAGUAUUUAUAAACCAUUUAGCUCAUCUUAAAACAUUGUGGCUAGUCACUGCUGUGAUUAAAAUAAAUACCGUACUGAAAACUCAAUGGACAAAGAGUUGUAAUUGAGGUACACUUAAUUAAGAUGGAUUAAACUCUUCCCACAAGUUUAUCGGUUUAUGCUCAAUGAGGUGGAACUGAAUGUAAUUAGCUAA